GCGGGGCCGAGGGAGCCGCUGCGGGACGCGCGCGCACGGGAGCGGCGGCGCGCGAGCCCAACGGCCGCGGCGCGAGAGGCGGGAGCGCGCGCGGGCGCUGAGGGGAAGAUGCUCCUCUGUUCCCCCCCCACCCUCCAAAAAGGGUGGAGCAUCUGGAUCCUCAGGUGUCUGGUGAGGCGUCUGCUCAGACCAGCACCGCUUCCUCAAUUCUAACAGCCAACCUGUGGGCCUGCUCAGAUGAAGCUGAAAGCAGGGGAAACCCCUUUGUAACAUGAAUAAUGAAAUGGAAGUUCCACAACAAUUCUUGAAGAUUUCUUCCCUGCUAUUGCAUCUGCUCUAAUGUGAUCAAAAUUCCCCAUCAACUUUAAGGGAGCUUUCUGAGCAAGAACUGUAAGUAACCUCAGAAUGAGAGUAUGUUGAGUGAAAAAUUAAGAACAAAACAGUAGAGGCUUGGGGAGAGUGUCUGUUGUCCAUUUAAGGUUUUUUUCCAGACCUCAGAGGUUUUACAGUUCAUGUUUAGUUAUACCAAGUAGGAAGAAAUAAGUGACAUCAGACAGGGAAUAUCCUGUAUGUUUGUCUACGAUCCGGAGCAGUUCUCUGCAUCAGCAUCAAUAUAAACGCAUCAGAGCUUCUUGUCAGGCAGAAUGUUAAUUGUGAGAACAGGUACUUAGCAUUUUCAGCCAUGCCUAACUAACAUCUCCACAUCUGUGUCAUCCCUUUUUAGCCACAUGGGUAUUGAAUCCAUAAUUUUCGACUGAAUUACAAUUAAAAGUACAAUCUAGCAGAUUCACACAAAUCUAGCAGUGACUUCCAAUAACAACUUUUGUUAUUAAAAAUAAACUACUUGAUUAUAAGUUCUAACUUUAAGUACUUAGUUGUUUUAAAUACAUCUUAAACUCAAGAGAAGUCAAUGCAGUAUAUUCCCCAGGCAGAACUGCAACAGUACAGCCAGAUUCUAACUCCUGCUGUAUCACUGAAUUGCACAUUAGACAAGCCUUAAUUUACUUGAAGAGCUAAAUUGGUACUUAAACUGUGAAACAGUUGGUGAAAGUAUUAUAUUUAAUACCUCUAUUCAUCUGAAGAGGGAGGCGCUUGCAGCUUUUUGUUGCCUUUCAAUCACUUGGACUGGCAGGAAGGAUGUCAGCUGAUAUGAUCAGAAAUAAAUCGCAAACUAUCUAUCUUGAUUUUUAAAUGUAAUAGCCAUUCCUUAAAGUUUCCAUAGGCUUAGACUCCUAACAGAACAGUAGGCAAAUAUUGCCUUACAAAAAAAUUCAUUUGAAUUUAGUAUUAAACUAACUCAGGUCUUUUCCUGCUUAGCCAAUAAAACAUUUACCUGUGGUUUUGACUUUCAUCUGCUAACUACAAGACAGUCUAUUAAUGUCGUCUAUGAACUUCCCCUUGUUAUUUGCUGCAUACAAAGAAAAUAUAUUUAUAUAUUUUUUUAAAUCUAAAAGCAAGCCUUAAACGUUACAGCAAGAACAGCAGUUACCUGGAACAAUAGCUUUGGUACAAACUUCUGUUGUGGCCAGUGGAGUGAGACUGAGCAAAAGCUCUUGCUGACUUGCCUUCUGUCAAACAAGUUCCUGCCAGUGUGAGUAGCGGUUCUUCUGAACUGGGUCAGAAAGAUGAAUUAUAGGGCACACUAUGCAUUUCCUCUGACACGGAGCAAAGUGCAGCCCCUUCUGCUAAUUGUUAGCAAUUACAGCUAGCUGUUAUAUGCAGAUAGGUGGCUAGAAAAGCAAGACACUGUAAUUGCAUCAACAGCGCUAUGCCAUCUUGGAUCCCUAAUGCACAGAAACAUCGAGCUGAUUUUCUUCUCUAGCAUUUUCCUUUAGUAUAGAGCACUGUGGCCAUUCAGUUUAACAAAACAGAAGAGGGUUUGUAUCCCCUGCUAAAGGCUUGCUUACCUCUUCAAACCGCAGCUGCCUCAGUUUCGUUUUAUUAUGAAAUUAAGUUAGCUUCACAGAAUACCACGUUACUGGUAAUUGCCUCCCUAUCCUUUGCCGCAGACCCUUGCUGGUGCCUCCUCACUUUCAUCCAUGUUUUUGCAGUCUUCAUGUCACUUGACCCCAGUAGCUUGGGCAAUGCUGGCAUGAAACCCAUAUUUAUCAGCUCAGCAGAGGUUAUUAGCUUCCAUUUCACAUAGAGCCCUGCAUCACCUUUGAUGUUCGCAUCUCUCAUUAGAGAGGCAUUCCUCACCAGCUGGGGAUGGUGCUUAGGAUCUUCCCCAGGUCGGUAAAUAAUGAACUAGAUGGAGUACAUUUCUGUGUUUGAGAUUCAGUUUGUGUGCAUGGACGUAGUUAUGCCCAUAAGAAGAAUGAAAAAAUACACAGUACUAAAAAUAUAAUUGUAGUAGAAUUAUUUCUGUUCAAAUCUCUGUUCUUCUGAGCUCCCUCCCUUAGGAUUAUCUAUUAAUUUUCAUGUCCAAUUUUACCCCUGGUUAUUUGUCAUUUACGUCUGAAAACAGAUUUUCUCUCUAUGAAAUACUAGUGAAACAAUUAAAAGCUUUUAAGAAAUCCCUAUUCUGCCUUUGGGAAAAUCCUUUUACAAGCUUGCACAGCGAGAAAAUACAAGCUAUGCUUUUAAAUCAUUACAUCAAAAAAACCUGAUAUUAAAACAUUUGAACUAAGACAAAGAAGUGAAGGUCAAGAAAAAUAAAUAAUGCUGAAUAAAAGUGGUAAUGACACUUACUAGAUAGCAUUCCUGAUUAAGCUUCUUGCAAGUGUGUGGAUCAUGAGACACCUAAAACUGGGAACAGCCUACUCAUUCACACCUCUGAAGAGGCCACCAUUAACUGUAAGACCCCUUUGUUUGCAUUAUGUCCAGAUGGUUCAAUUCACUGUAAUACCAGUUUAACUGUGAAUUCAAGUUAAUUGGAGAUGAACACAAAAUGGGAAUUCUUUCCGAUUCCUGUUCACCUCUGAAGAUGGGCCAUCAAGGUUUGUAAAGGCACCUCAGAAUUCCAAAGUAUGGGUUGAGAGCAGCGUUAGCGAAUCACAGUGAACACACGGGCUGCUGUCAGUAGCACACAAUUUCUGACAUGUGCACAUCACCUUCACUUCACAUCUCCUGAAUGAGCUCAUGGUGUAUGGGAACAAUACCCAGUUUAGUUUCUAUAGUCUAUCAGGAGUGAUCUUGAGAAGGAACUCCAAGGCUCCUAUUAUGUAUACAAAUACAGUAUGAUAGCUCAAUUAUACAUUUUACUAAAUGUAAAUAUUAUAAAUAUUUAUAAUAUACAUAUGAGAAAUGUAAAUUUUUCCUAAGGUGAUCAAAUAAUACUGAAGUUCUUUAUGAUUUGUACAUACUGCUCUGUUACAAAUUUCCUGAGAUCAUCUAAGUUAAAGCUAUAACAUAGUGUCCUGCUUACUUAAAGGUCAAAGGAUGGUUUGGCGAAAAAGUAAUUUUUUUUCUGUAAUUUCAGGCUUAUACUGAGAUAUCAGAUUUUCUUUUUGUAAUCUAUUAUAAAGCAGUUUCAUACUACUGAUUUUUAAUGCUUAUAUUAAUAAACAUUAAAUAACAUUAAUAAGCAUGCUAAAAGUAUUUGAUUUGUUUGAUUUAAAAAAAAUAGCUUAGGUAAGAUUAGAAUUCCAAUUUCUGUAUAUAUCGGUUCUUGACUCCAGCUUGAUAACUCUUGUGUGGGCCAGAAAGGGUUUAUUUUUCCUUAAGAUUAUUACUUUUCAAUAUUAGGAACA
This is a long non-coding RNA of Columba livia (rock pigeon), 3692 nucleotides long. RefSeq lists it as uncharacterized. The transcript has 3 exons. The record is from RefSeq and is a predicted model, not a curated record. Lineage: Eukaryota; Metazoa; Chordata; Aves; Columbiformes; Columbidae.